This 6849-nucleotide long non-coding RNA is filed under the name Daucus carota (carrot). RNAcentral's name for it is "long non-coding RNA (DCAR_LNC003843)". Lineage: Eukaryota; Viridiplantae; Streptophyta; Magnoliopsida; Apiales; Apiaceae. The record is from RNAcentral.
CUCGAUUUGGACAUGGUUCAGCUAAAUUAGCUCGCCAGGCACAGAGCAAAGAAAAAACUUUAGCAAAAAUGGAGCGUGGUGGCCUCACACAGAAAGUGGUUAGGGACCAGGUUCUGGUUUUCCGAUUCGUUGAUGUAGGGAAUCUUCCACCACCAGUGUUGCAAUUUGUUGAAGUCUCGUUUGGCUAUACCCCGGAUAAUCUCAUCUACAAGAACAUUGAGUUUGGUGUCGAUCUUGACUCAAGGAUUGCAUUGGUUGGACCCAAUGGUGCUGGGAAGAGCACAUUGCUGAAGCUGAUGACAGGCGAUCUGGUUCCGAACGAGGGCAUGGUACGUCGGCACAAUCACUUGCGCAUUGCGCAGUUCCAUCAACACUUGACAGAGAAACUUGAUGUGGAAAUGUCGGCUCUCCAGUUCAUGAUGAAAGAGUACCAAGGAAAUGAGGAAGAUAAGAUGAGGGCAGCCAUUGGGAGGUUUGGGCUAUCUGGGAAAGCUCAAGUAAUGCCAAUGAAGAACUUGUCAGAUGGGCAAAGAAGCCGUGUUAUUUUUGCAUGGUUAGCAUGGAGGCAGCCACAGAUGUUGCUCCUGGAUGAGCCAACUAACCAUUUGGAUAUUGAGACUAUAGACUCACUUGCUGAGGCAUUAAAGGAGUGGGAUGGAGGCUUGGUUCUCGUAAGUCACGACUUCAGGCUUAUAAACCAAGUGGCCAAAGAAAUUUGGGUGUGUGAAAAUCAAGCUGUGACCCCCUGGUCUGGUGAUAUCAUGGGUUUCAAGGCACACUUGAAGAAACAAGCUGGUCUAUAAGAUUGGAAGGGUCAAAUAUGCUGGAUUUACAUAUAUUCUAUAGUAAGGUGUACUAGGCUUACGGUUAUCAAAUCCCAUUUUUGGAGUAAUACGUUUGUAUGUUCUUUCACAUGGAUGAUGAUGAAAGCCGGUGGAGCAACGGAAGAUUCUUCAUGACAAUAUUAUUUAAAAUAUAAAAUCUGUACUGCUGUCUGUAUUUUUCAGCUGAUAUAGUAGUAGCUUAGUUUACAUUUUGCUUUGUGUUGGUACUAUAUUUGCAUUUAGUCUUGGUUUGUGCCAAGAAAUAUACUCAAGGGGGAUCAUGGAUGUGUUGCCUAUGUAAAACCUAUCUAUUUGAUAUAUGAAUCAUGUUUUCUCGCCAGUCUUUCCUCUUCUGAUUCCUAUUUGCUCAUAAGUCAUAGGGGGACAAUAGGGAAAUACUACCAAUGCAUAGUAGUUUCUUUUCGUUCUAGAGUUUGCAGGAAAAAAAAGUGCACCGGUAAAUUGUACCAAAUUGAACUCCUGGUAUUCUAUUUUUUGAUUUUAACCAAUAUCAUUAGAUAUGUUCUUAAAUUUAAUGAUAUAAUUUUUGAUAAUAAAACCCAAUGGCAUUUAGUUUUUUCGAAUAAAUAUGUUUCUGACAAUUUUAAUAGCAAAAACAUGAAAUUUGAUUCUUGACUAUUCUCAUAUUAAUACCUAUUUUCUCUGUUUGAUCUUUUUUAUGUCCUUUUUAUAAAAAUGUUCUUUUGAAAUAUUUAUUCUAUUCUAUUUUCAAAAUAAUUAUUUCAAUUUUUUAUAAAAAACUAUGAACUUUUUAUUUUAAGUAUUUAAAUAAUACUCCAUCCGUCCCAUUUUAGUUGUCACAUUUGGUUUUGUGCCGGUCAAAUUGACUAAGGUUUGACUAAGUUUAUUAAUAUUUUAUCAAUUGACAAAAUAAAAAAAACAUGUCACCAGAAUUAACUUUUAAUCUACUUUAAAAUGUAAUUUUCAGUUUUUUAAAAUAAUGAGUGAGUGAUUUAUAAUAUUUGAUCAAAAUUUAGUCAAUUUAACCAACAAAAUUAGAAAUGUGACACUAAAAUGGGAUGGAGGACUAUACACAGACCUGACUUUGAUGACAAAUAAGCAGUUUUAAAACAUUACUAUACCAAUUUUUAAAAGAGAAAAUUGGUUAAAAAAGGAAUUGUCAAAAGGAGUAAAACAAAAAACAUACUCUCACGUGGGUUUAAGGAAGAAAAGGUCCAAGUGUCCAACAUAGGACGGUUUGACCUAACUAACCUUAACACCGCAUCCCCAAUAUAUCAUCGACGCAUGAUACAACAACACGUAACCCUCCACCAAAACCCUUAUUAUAAUAUAACACACACAUAUAUAUUCUUCUCGAACACCCCAGAUCUUCAAACCCUUGUUCCAUCUCUCUAGGUACCCUCCUGUCCUUCACUCCACAAUAUAUACGUUUGAUUGACGUUUUAUUCGAUUGGUUUUGAUGAUUUUGUUCUUCUGUUGAGACAGGAUCAAGAAGAAAGAAGAUGGUGUCUGAUGCAAGCAAAAAGAAGGCUGCCCAGAAGAAGGCAGCUGCGGCAGCCAAAAGGGGUGGCAAAUCUGUUGCUGCUGCUAUUGCCAAGGUUUCCAGCAGUACUAGUACCGAUAAUUUGAGUAGUAGGGUUGAAAAUCUUCAGAUUUCUGAUCGGACCUGUACUGGGGUUCUCUGUUCUCACCCUCUUUCCAGAGAUAUUCGUGUAUGUAUCUCCCUUUAUUAUUCAGUUUCCCCAAUUUUGAUUCGUUAUGUUUCUACAGAUAUUGUGAAAGCCUGUUUAUUUGUUGAGUUCUUGGUAAUGAAAAUUUCAUCUUUGCCUUUUUGAAGAAACAAACAAUCUUUGGUUGAAUCAAGAUUGGGAAAUUUUAUGAGAAUAUGCAUAAUUCGUUAAUCUUGGUUGGAUAUGUGUUUGUAAAGACUGUAGAUUUGUUAUUAUUUCGGUUUUUUGUUAAUGAAAUUUUGAUAUUUGAUUUGUAAAAAUUGAGAAAAUUAAUCUUUGUGACUUGGUUUAACUUGAUUUAUUUACCUAUUUUGGGAACAAGAACUAAACGUGCUUAGAAUCUGCUUGUAGAAUAAAGCCAGGGACUCGGGGCUGGGGAUGUAAAAUGUUUGCAGCAGACUGCAGACCUUGCCUCUUAUGUAAAGAUCCCGGCUUUCGAAGUUUGUGACAAAAUAGAGGCAUCAGUACAAUUUAUACAAGGUGAGAGAUGGUAAAUAUCAAGUACUGGAAUUAGUGGAAUCAAGAAACAUAUUAUUAACAAAACAUAUUAUUAACAAAAGAAGGAUUAAAAUACAGCACCAAUACAAAUUAUACAGGAACAUCAAGUACUAGUAUUAGUGGUAAUAAACAAUUAUAUUAAAGAAAAUAGGAUUUAAAACGAUAACACCGAGUCCGAGAGAAACUACUACAAGUCCCUCCAAGACCUCUAUACCAAGUCCAACAUGAUGGGUAACAGUUGUGAACAUAAAUCCAUUGUUUCUAAAUCUGUCUUGCAUCAACUCCUAUAUGACCUCAUGAGCUUAUAAAGGUUAACUCAUGUCUAGUAGCGUCAGCUGCUUAUACCAUGCCCUAGGCAUCAUGCCUUUCUUCCUCACCCAAAUAAGUAUGUUUACCACCUUUCUCAUUAGUGCUGAAGAUGAUUACUUAUGGAUGGCGUCAAAUCAUCACAUUCUUUAUAAGAAAUAAGAAACUGGGUGUUUCGAUGAUAUUUCAUAUUUGGAUUAUCUGAGAAAUAUAAUGAAUCUAUGCCAGGCAAGACUAAUAGUUGGAUUUUGUUAAGUUAUCUAUAAUACUUUGUGAUAUAACUCUUGGAUGAUCCAGGGAACAGGGCUGAAAUUUUAAUAUGUUGAAUAGAUAGUACCGGUUUAGGUUUUACAGCUAAAACUUUUAGGAUUGUAGGGGUUGUUUUAUCUUGCUUAGGCUUUUACUUGUACAUUUAAUGUAUAUUUUAGUUAUUGACAUGGCCGCUAGAAGAUUAAACUGUAGAUCCCAAGCAUUAUAGACAAAAUGUGAAAGGUUCAAAUGCACAAGUAUUUCAAUUUCUGUAGUUGACUAGUUAUCAUGUGAGAGAUAUCAGUGAAAUGUGAGAUGGGUGAAAAUUGGAGCUUCUGAUGUUGUAGGUUCCACUCAGACCUCAUUGUUUAUAGCCAAUCAGCCACGGUACCUAGGCAAGGACCUAGGAUUGCGGAUGGCUAACAAUCAAUAGGGUGCUCCAACCUCCAAUAUAGAUAUUUUCUUAUUCUCUAUUUGUUUAAACUGUUGUGCAAGUUUCUUCACUUGUUCAUUUUUUGGUCGAACUUUUAAAUACUGUCGUGUCUUUACAAAACGAACUGCAGUUUGUUGCCCUUUCUUCUUUAUAACCUGUAUUGCUUUUGUUUGCCUGUCCACUGUGGUUGUAUUGAUGCAGUGCUGAUAAUAUUUUUUUCUCGCAGAUAGAGUCGCUGUCUCUGACCUUUCAUGGACAUGAUCUUAUUGUUGAUUCUGAGCUGGAGCUUAAUUAUGGCAGGUUUGUUUUGGUGAUUGAAAAUUUUAUUUGAUGUGUUUAUGGUCAUUAGUUAUUUAGAUUUAUUAACUCUACAUGCAAUUUGUCUUUUCUUUACCAGACGAUAUGGUUUGCUCGGACUUAAUGGCUGCGGAAAAUCUACUCUACUUACAGCUAUAGGGCGCCGAGAACUUCCGAUUCCUGAUCACAUGGAUAUUUUUCAUCUCACGAGGGAGAUUGAAGCAUCUGAUAUGUCUUCACUCCAGGCUGUGAUAAAUUGUGAUGAAGAGAAGAUUAAACUGGAGAAAGAAGCUGAAGUUUUGGCCGCUCAGGUUUGUACUUAAAGUGAAAAAAUUUUGUGAUGGCAUCGUGGACUUGUUUUAUUUGUGAAUCAGUUGAUAAUAUCAGUUUUCUGUGUUUUAUAGGAUGAUGGUGGAGGAGAAGCUCUUGAGCGCAUAUAUGAGCGUUUGGAUGCAAUGGAUGCAGCAACUGCUGAGAAACGUGCUGCUGAAAUAUUAUUUGGUCUUGGUUUUACCAAAGAGAUGCAAGCGAAGAAAACCCGGGACUUUUCUGGUGGAUGGAGAAUGAGGAUUGCUUUAGCACGUGCCCUGUUUAUGAACCCGACUAUCUUGUUGCUUGACGAGCCUACUAAUCAUCUUGGUAAGCUGUUUUUCUUACAGUAGUAUUUACUUUGCAACUUACUUUUGUUUUAUUUAUUCUAAAAUUUAUAUACUUGUACUUUUCCCCUUUUUCUGAUGGCUACAUAAUUCUACUGGUAGCUACUAGCACCACGUGGUAAAAAUAUUACAUAUGAACAUAAUAUUUUUUCUACCCCUCAAUGUGGUAUUGAUCCACAUCAAAUCAAAUUUGUCAGUGAUAAGAUUCGUUUUUUAGCUCUUAAUCUCUUAUGUAUACAAGUGAACCAUUAGCUAUGGUCUGUAUAUUUAACUUUUCUGAGUUUGUUAUACAUUGAGUACUCGUAUGAGAAUGUAAUGUGCCUUCUUGGGACUAUACUUGUGUUGCACGUAAUUUUUGUCAGAGAUAAGAUUAUUUUCUUUAGCUCUUAAUUUCUUAUGUAUACAAGUGACCAUUAGCUAUGAUUUGUACGUUCAAUUUUUCUGAGUUUGUUAUACGUUUAGUACUUGUAUGAGAAUGUAAUGUGCGGAAUGUGCCUACAUGCGGCUAUACUUGUGUUGCACAUAAUUUUAAACAAUUUUUAUACAAGUUCUGCAUUAACUAUGAAUCCUGUAGUUGCUCAAUUGCAUGAUGUAUUGAGUUCUGUACUAUUUGCCCUGAGUUCUAUGCUAUUUGCUCCUUAUUAGAACAUAGAAGUUAUUCUGAGUAGUCAAAAAGAUGCAAGGAUACAAUAUGCUAAGUUGAAGUAUCUGUUAAAAGUACCUCGUCUAGAAGCACAAGUAUCAGGUACCAAUUUUUCCAGUGCAGUUGCUGGUAGCAUUGAUCGUAUGCCAAAAUCUAUAUUGAGUCUUCGGUUGCUGGUAAUGUUGAUUAUGUGUAAUGUUUUUUAGAGACUGUUUUAUUCCAAAUUUUAUACAAGUAUGUUGCUUUAGCAAGUAACCUUUAGCUUAAUUCAUUAUAAAUUUCUCUUGAAUUGAUACACACAUUAAGGACAAUGUGAUACUACAAUGUUUGUUUAAGAUUGGCUAAUAAUUCUGAAUCAUCUAUUUGGUUUCUGUUGUACUUGGUUAAAAAUUUAUUGUGGAGUGCAAAUCUGUUUCAUCAUCUGAUCAAAUGUGUGUUCUUGGAUGCAUAUGUUGCUCUGUUUUGUUUGACCGGUGGAAAUGUUGUACUUUCUCAACCUAUCAUCUCUAUUUUUAACAACUUUGUAUGCACUACUCUGAUGUUUAACUGCAUCAAAAUACAGAUUUAGAAGCUUGUGUGUGGCUGGAAGAGAUGCUGAAGAAAUUCGAGCGUAUCUUGGUGGUUGUUUCUCACUCCCAGGACUUUCUAAAUGGUGUCUGCACAAAUAUCAUACACAUGCAGAGCAGACAGUUGAAAAUGUAUACAGGAAACUUUGACCAAUAUGUUCAAACCCGUUCAGAACUCGAGGAGAACCAGAUGAAGCAGUACAAGUGGNAUCAUACACAUGCAGAGCAAACAGUUGAAAAUGUAUACAGGAAAUUUUGACCAAUAUGUUCAAACCCGUUCAGAACUCGAGGAGAACCAGAUGAAGCAGUACAAGUGGGAGCAGGAUCAGAUUGCUAAUAUGAAAGAGUACAUUGCUCGAUUUGGACAUGGUUCAGCUAAAUUAGCUCGCCAGGCACAGAGCAAAGAAAAAACUUUAGCAAAAAUGGAGCGUGGUGGCCUCACACAGAAAGUGGUUAGGGACCAGGUUCUGGUUUUCCGAUUCGUUGAUGUAGGGAAACNUGGCUAUACCCCAGAUAACCUCAUCUACAAGAACAUUGAGUUUGGUGUCGAUCUUGACUCAAGGAUCGCAUUGGUUGGACCCAAUGGUGCUGGGAAGAGUACAUUGCUGAAGCUGAUGACAGGGGAUCUGGUUCCCAACGAGGGCAUGGUACGUCGGCACAAUCAC